AUGCGCGAGGAGUUGAGGACAUACCGCUGUGCUGCUUGCUUGAAGAUUGAAAAUGCCUGCCUGAAAGUUGAGCUUGCACGCUCGUUUCGUAAUGCUGCUACAAUUCUAGAAGCUGAAGCACAAUCUGAACUGGAGGUUGGGUUUUCCUCUACAGCACCCCAGAUUCCAGUUGAUACUAGCGCAACUGCACCACUCCAGCCGAGUGCAGCAGGGAGUCAAGAUGAACCAUGCGAGUAA
This 237-nucleotide ribosomal RNA is filed under the name Triticum aestivum (bread wheat). Its description in RNAcentral is "partial small subunit ribosomal RNA". Lineage: Eukaryota; Viridiplantae; Streptophyta; Magnoliopsida; Poales; Poaceae. The record is from RNAcentral.